GACGAACGCUGGCGGCGUGCUUAACACAUGCAAGUCGAACGGGAGUAUUGAAGAAGCUUGCUUUAGAGAUACUUUAGUGGCGGACGGGUGAGUAACGCGUGAGGAGCUGUCCGAUGCAGGGGGACAACAGUUGGAAACGACUGCUAAUACCCCAUAAGCCGAGAGGUAAAAGGAUUUAUCCGGCAAUGGAGGUACUCGCGUCCUAUCAGCUAGUAGGUGAGGUAACGGCUCACCUAGGCGAAGACGGGUAGCCGGCCUGAGAGGGCGAACGGCCACACUGGAACUGAGAUACGGUCCAGACUCCUACGGGAGGCAGCAGUGGGGAAUAUUGGGCAAUGGGGGGAACCCUGACCCAGCGACGCCGCGUGGGUGAAGAAAUCCUUCGGGAUGUAAAGCCCUGUUGUAUGGGAAGAGCGGAAGACGGUACCAUACGAGGAAGCCCCGGCAAACUACGUG
Molecule: ribosomal RNA, 456 nt
Filed under: uncultured bacterium
Lineage: Bacteria
Description: bacterial SSU rRNA
Rfam family: Bacterial small subunit ribosomal RNA
Source: RNAcentral